UACGAAGGGUGCAAGCGUUAAUCGGAAUUACUGGGCGUAAAGCGUGCGCAGGCGGUUUGCUAAGACAGGUGUGAAAUCCCCGGGCUUAACCUGGGAACUGCGCUUGUUACUGGCAGGCUUGAGUGUGGCAGAGGGGGGUGGAAUUCCACGUGUAGCAGUGAAAUGCGUAGAGAUGUGGAGGAACACCGAUGGCGAAGGCAGCCCCCUGGGCUAACACUGACGCUCAUGCACGAAAGCGUGGGGAGCAAACAGG
This 253-nucleotide ribosomal RNA is filed under the name uncultured bacterium. Its description in RNAcentral is "partial 16S ribosomal RNA". It matches the Rfam family "Bacterial small subunit ribosomal RNA", at positions 524 to 776 of the family's 1533-position model. The record is from RNAcentral.